UACGGGGGGAGCAAGCGUUGUUCGGAUUUACUGGGCGUAAAGGGCGCGUAGGCGGUCAGCACAAGUCAGUUGUGAAAUCUCCGAGCUUAACUCGGAAAGGUCAACUGAUACUGUGCGACUAGAGUGCGGAAGGGGCAACUGGAAUUCUUGGUGUAGCGGUGAAAUGCGUAGAUAUCAAGAGGAACACCUGCGGCGAAGGCGGGUUGCUGGGCCGACACUGACGCUGAGGAGCGAAAGCGUGGGGAGCGAACAGG
This 254-nucleotide ribosomal RNA is filed under the name uncultured bacterium. RNAcentral's name for it is "partial 16S ribosomal RNA". It matches the Rfam family "Bacterial small subunit ribosomal RNA", at positions 524 to 776 of the family's 1533-position model. The record is from RNAcentral.